GGCUGUAGCUCAGUGGUAGAGCACUUGCCUCACGUACUUGAUUACUGGGUUUGAUCCUCAGCACGACA
RNAcentral lists this transfer RNA (68 nucleotides) under Marmota monax (woodchuck). RNAcentral describes it as "tRNA.Val". The record is from RNAcentral. Lineage: Eukaryota; Metazoa; Chordata; Mammalia; Rodentia; Sciuridae.